This 118-nucleotide ribosomal RNA is filed under the name Escherichia coli. RNAcentral describes it as "partial 16S ribosomal RNA". It matches the Rfam family "Bacterial small subunit ribosomal RNA", at positions 1 to 109 of the family's 1533-position model. The record is from RNAcentral. RNAcentral also lists the same sequence under 15 other names. Lineage: Bacteria; Pseudomonadati; Pseudomonadota; Gammaproteobacteria; Enterobacterales; Enterobacteriaceae.
UUAAAUUGAAGAGUUUGAUCAUGGCUCAGAUUGAACGCUGGCGGCAGGCCUAACACAUGCAAGUCGAACGGUAACAGGAAGCAGCUUGCUGCUUUGCUGACGAGUGGCGGACGGGUGA